This 465-nucleotide ribosomal RNA is filed under the name uncultured bacterium. RNAcentral's name for it is "partial 16S ribosomal RNA". It matches the Rfam family "Bacterial small subunit ribosomal RNA", at positions 339 to 795 of the family's 1533-position model. The record is from RNAcentral.
CUACGGGUCGCACCAGUGGGGAAUAUUGGACAAUGGGGGAAACCCUGAUCCAGCAAUGCCGCGUGUGUGAAGAAGGCCUGCGGGUUGUAAAGCACUUUCGGUUGGGAGGACUGCUUCUAGCACUAAUAUUGUUGGAAGUUGACGUUACCUUCAGAAGAAGCACCGGCUAACUCCGUGCCAGCAGCCGCGGUAAUACGGAGGGUGCAAGCGUGAAUCGGAAUUACUGGGCGUAAAGCGCGCGUAGGCGGCUAGAUCAGUCGGGUGUGAAAGCCCCGGGCUUAACCUGGGAACUGCAUCCGAUACUGUCUAGCUUGAGUACAGGGGAGGAGAGUGGAAUUCCACAUGUAGCGGUGAAAUGCGUAGAUAUGUGGAGGAACACCAAUGGCGAAGGCAGCUCUCUGGCCUGAUACUGACGCUGAGGUGCGAAAGCGUGGGGAGCAAACAGGAUUAGAUACCCUUGUAGUC